Carassius auratus (goldfish) is the source of this 1408-nucleotide long non-coding RNA. RefSeq lists it as uncharacterized. NCBI's taxonomy places the organism in Eukaryota, Metazoa, Chordata, Actinopteri, Cypriniformes, Cyprinidae. The transcript has 4 exons. The record is from RefSeq and is a predicted model, not a curated record.
AUACAAAUUGCUGGAACACUGUCCUAUUAAACUCUUCCCUCUGGAGCCCCUUGCUUUGAGAGAUGGUGCAAGCACGUCUUUCAUUCGCCUCCUUUUCCUAUUCUCUCUGCAACCAAUUUCUGGAAUACAUGAACCAUGGCUAAGAAACAGCUGUGGUCAGACGGGCCAUUGCUGUACUGAUGUCAGGUGGUGAUGGCCAAGGGAGGAAUGCAGCUGUGAGGGCCACUGUCAGAGUUGGCCUUUACACUGGAGCACAAGUCGUCUUUGUCCAUGAGGGCUAUCAGGGAUUGGUUGAUGAAGGGAAUCACAUCCGUCCUGCUACUUGGGAGAGUGUGUCCGUGAUACUACAGCUGGUGUGACCUCAGAUGCUAGAAUGGUGGUACAGUCAUUGGCGGUGCCCUCUGUAAGGAUUUCCAGACCAGAGAGGGGCGUUUGAAGGCUGCCUACAAUCUCGUCAAACUAGGCGUCACCCACCUUUGUGUAACUGCCGAUGGCAGUUUAAUUGGUGCCAACUUAUUUCGCACAGAGUGGAGUGACUUGCUGAAAGUCUUAUCAGCAAAUGUAAACCAGGCAUUUUAUUAAAAAUAUUAUUUACAAUUUAAAACUAACUUUUUAAAAGUUUGUUUGUGUAUGUGUGUGAGUACUAGUGUUCCCUAUACGUUAUUGGGAAUAUGUCCCCACAAGGAUAAUAAUACCAACAAAUUUGGACAUUGUGUGGACAUUUUUGAGAGACAGUAUUAAAAUUAAGUCACAUGGCAUCUGAUGUACAGAAGCCACUGGUAGAUGCCACUAUGCUCAUCUAGUGACACUUCUGGUUUUCACUGGCAUGUACCGCUGACACUUGUGACAUGUGCUGAUGGACUGUUUCAGUGUUGCUUGUCAAUAUUGUUGCGGGACAUACCACCAUACUGUUGAGGUGUACACUCGAGAGACAAUGCCGCUGUCAGCUGGAGUAUAAUGUAGACUGUGUAACACACGCACUUUAUUGCCGAACAACCAUUAGGCUUCUUCAUCUGUUUAAUAUUUGUCUUGUGUAAUGUAUUUAUAUUAAUCUUUGCCAACACCCCAGACUCUGUUAGUGUGUUGGGCAUGAGAAGUGUCUUUCCCUCAGACACUGUAUUCCGCAGAACCCGUGAUGGUUGAAGCUGAGGCCUAUUAUGAAGAUCUUGGCCAAGAACAAGAUUAGUCUGGACACCUCUGAACAUGCUUUUAGGGAGCAUGUCAUCAGCAAGAAGCCUCCAGUGCACAUGACUCUCCGGAAGUAAUCGUGAGCAAAAAUGUGGACUGACAGAUACAUCAAGCAUAUGAAAUGACUGAAUUAUUUAUUUAAAUAAUUAUUUGUUUGUCUGUCUUUUUCUUAUUCUUUUAUUUGUUUGUAAAUUUAGUGUUUAUGGUAACGCUGUUGCAU